This 74-nucleotide transfer RNA is filed under the name Holosporales bacterium. RNAcentral's name for it is "tRNA-Gly". It matches the Rfam family "tRNA". Rfam says of the family: Transfer RNA (tRNA) molecules are approximately 80 nucleotides in length. Their secondary structure includes four short double-helical elements and three loops (D, anti-codon, and T loops). The record is from RNAcentral. Lineage: Bacteria; Pseudomonadati; Pseudomonadota; Alphaproteobacteria; Holosporales.
GCGGGCGUAGCUUAAUGGUAAAGCUCCAGCCUUCCAAGCUGGUAACGUGGGUCCGAUUCCCAUCGCCCGCUCCA